AGUGAACGCUGGCGGUAGGCCUAACACAUGCAAGUCGAACGGCAGCACAGGAGAGCUUGCUCUCUGGGUGGCGAGUGGCGGACGGGUGAGGAAUACAUCGGAAUCUACUCUGUCGUGGGGGAUAACGUAGGGAAAAUUACGCUAAUACCGCAUACGACCUGCGGGUGAAAGCAUGGGACGUUCGGGCCUUGCGCGAUUGAAUGCGCCGAUGUCGGAUUAGCGAGUUGGCAGGGUAAAGGCCCACCAAGGCGACGAUCCGUAGCUGGUCUGAGAGGGUGAUCAGCCACACUGGAACUGAGACACGGUCCAGACUCCUACGGGAGGCAGCAGUGGGGAAUAUUGGACAAUGGGCGCAAGCCUGAUCCAGCCAUACCGCGUGGGUGAAGAAGGUCUUCGGGUUGUAAAGCCCUGUUGUUGGGAAAGAAAGCCAUCUGGUUAAUACCCGGGUGGGAUGACGGUACCCAAAGAAUAAGCACCGGCUAACUUCGUGCCAGCCGCCGCAGUAA
This 506-nucleotide ribosomal RNA is filed under the name uncultured bacterium. RNAcentral's name for it is "partial 16S ribosomal RNA". It matches the Rfam family "Bacterial small subunit ribosomal RNA", at positions 29 to 523 of the family's 1533-position model. The record is from RNAcentral.